GCAUCUUGAGGUGACAUUCAAAAUGAAUAAAUAAAAUAAUGUACAAGUUUCAACAGAUAUAAUGAUAUGCUGUAAAGAUAAAACAUUCACUAACAAAAUGGUGAUGACCUUUGAACAGGUGUUCUUUACCAGGAAUGGAAAGACAAUAGGGAAGAAAGAAGUGUGUAUACCUAAAGGAGGAUUCUACCCCACUAUAGGAAUGUUGAGUAGUGAAGAGAAGGUGAAAGUGGAUCUCCAUCCCCUUACAGGGUGACAGAAGUGUACUUUAGAAACUGGUGUGUGGUUGGAGUUGCUAACUUGAAUGGAUGUUUAGUAUAGACAGUUUAUGAAGAAAAAUAUGUAUUUCAAGAUUCUUGUGUAACUGUCAUGAUUUUUCUUCAGUCAUUUCUUGUUGUCUGUGAACCUUAUAUACUAGAUCGGUAGAUUUAAUUGUGUGAAUUUAUUAUAAUCUCUCAUUUGCAUUGGAGACAGUUGUGUGGUGUAUUAUUUUGGUUUUGUACAAAUGUAUAAACUGGAUAUAAAUGAGAAAAGCAGAGCUGAAUGAAAGUGUACAGUGCCUAAAGCUGUUCUUUUAAAAUCUUUCUAAAUCUAGUAGCUUAAUUUUCUUUCAUCUUAUGAAAAGAAUAAAAUAAUUUGCUUAAUGAAAUCAUACUUCGUACAUACUUGGUAAAACAACAGUUUAGGUAUUUGGUAGUUCUUAAAAAUUUUGCUUUGUUUUUCUAUCACUAAUUUGUAUUGAUUCAAAUCUGUGUAUAUUACAUGCAUAUUAAAUUUUUUUGAGUCAGAUAUAUUAAUUGAUUGAGAACCAUUGCUUGUUUUUAAGGGCUGUAGUCUGAAAUAGUUUGACUUUACUUUUCUCUCCUUCACAAAGGAAGAGCAAUUUACUGUAAGAUUUCUUCAGAUUUUAUGGCUUAUAAAUCCUUGAAACAUUAGCAUAUUUGUAAAAUAGUUACUACAACCUAUUCAGUUAAUCUGAAGUACUUUUAACAGGAAAAGAAAAAGAACUUUGUAAAACUAUUGCUGAGCUCCUUUAUAAGUUAAAUAUGCUUUAUAGAUUGGGGGUAUUCCAAUAAAAGACAAAUUAUAAUUGAUUUAAUUUUAACUUUUAAAUACCUUGAAUUAAUGUUUGUUCAUUAGGGAUGUAAUGGGGAACUUGUUACAAACUAAGAAAACUAUUAAAUACCACUAAAUGAAAGUCAAUCAAAAACAAAAGAUAUUGCCAUGAUAAAAACAUAAAGAUAUUGCCAUGAUAAAAACAUAAAGAUAUUGCCAUGAUAAAAACAUAAAGAUAUUGCCAUGAUAUAAACAUAAAGAUAUUGCCAUGAUAAAAACAUAAAGAUAUUGCCAUGAUAAAAACAUAACGAUAUUGCCAUGAUAAAACAUAACGAUAUUGCCAUGAUAAAACAUAAAGAUAUUGCCAUGAUAGAAACAUAAAGAUAUUGCUAUAAUAAGCUGUGUAAUAUAAACAGAAAAUAACUUUUUUUUUAUGUAAAAUUGUGGAUACAAUAAUCAAAAAGAUUGUUUCAUUAUCAAAUCUUUCAGACAUGUUCAUUUCUCUCAAUUAGGCAAGAAAACAGUUAUUGUUCUAACAUAAUGAAGUUUAAAAUAAUCAUUGUAAUAUCUUGUUUCAGAAAGCUUUUUUUUUAAUUGUAAGAUUAUCUCAGUUUAUUGGUUUAUUUAGUAGAUAAUCUAUUUCUAUUCUUGGUAUAGUCCACUUUAAAAACUAUUAAUAUAACAUAAUAAACAAACAGAAAACUCUGAUCAAGGCCACACAUUUUAUUUGUAAAAUGGAUACUACAGAAUAUUCUUAUCAUCAAAUUACAGUUUUGUCUCUGAAGAACUGAUAUAAGAUAUUCAGUCUCUGAACAACACUAUCAUAUAUAUUGAUGUUGUUAUUUUUAAAUUAAAGUUUUUGGUGUUAUAUUGUUAGGUAUCUCUUCAACUUAGAAAAAAGAAAUGAAUUACAGAAACACGGCACUUGGCUGGUCACACUUUGCAUUUAAACUUGAUGAAAUUCCAAGAAAUGUGACGAAACUUUAGAUGCCACCACAAGCACUGUGUCUGUCCAUCAUCACACUUCAUGCAUGCAAAGUGGCCAGGCAGUGAUGUUAUUUUCCUUCAGCCAAUCACAGAACAGUUUAUAAUGUAAUAGCGUUGGUAUGAACUGUGUGUUACUAUUAAGAGAAAUUACAACAAGACCUAAGUAUCAGAACAAUAUUUUUAUUCAAUGUGAUGUUUUUCACAUUAUAAAAACAAAUAUUUGCAUAUUUUGUGGCAAAGUAUUAAUUUUAAUUGUGUGUAUUACAUAUUUGUUUUGAAAUUAUUAAACAAGCUAUCCAAGUGAAAAAUAAAAAUAAGGAUUUGAUUCGUGUAUAUUUUUUGUUUGUACUUAAUAUCCUUAUAAAUUUGGAAGUUAAAGCAAAACUUAGAAAAACUGGACACUAUAAAUAGAAAAAUUAGUAACAAAUUUAAAAUGUGUACAAAAAUAUACAUAUAUAUAUAUAUAUAUGGAAUUCUUAUUUUGGAUUACUCCUAGUUUGUAGUUUUGUCAGUUUUUGGCUUGCAUAUUUAAUUAGUCACAGUUUUACCAUUGUCAGUAAGAACAUUGAAGGGAUUAUGCAUGAAAGGCUUUCUUUGAUCUAAUGUACACAAGUUUUCAGUCUGAUAAAGGAUUUGGCAGGAAAAAUGACUUGGCAACAGAAAUCCAUAGGAAGCCUUGCAAGAAAACAUUAUUAUGGUAUUGAAUAUUUCUGAGUUAAAUGCUAUGAAGGAACUUGAAAUUUAUGUGAUCUUUGGGUCUUUUUUUUUUAAUUCAUUAAUGUUAUAUGAUAUAUUUUUGAAAUAGUACUUGUAGUUUUGUUAUGUAAUAUGUUUGCAUGGAUACAAAAUUCUAUUAAAUUGUGAUUAAGUCUUAAAAAUUAAGACAUAAUGAAAUGGAAUUAAGGUUUCAUAUAUCUCUAUAAAAGAAACUUAGUUGUAUAGUUUCUAUUUGGGUUGUGCUUAGGUCACAAAGGCAAGGUUUGAAAAUGUGGAAGCAUGAAGUAAACAUUUUAAAUAGUAGCAAUAAAAAAUCAUUCUUAGAUUUUGUUGUAAGAAGAAAAUGUUUGAGAAUUUUAAGUUUUAUAUUUUUCUACAGUUAAUGAUUUCAUGCUUCACUGUUUUAUUGGAUUUUUUUACCCAUAAUUCUUGCUCUUCUGGUUCAGGAUUAUAAUGUUGUAAUAUAUAUAUAUAGAUACCUUAAAAUUGUAUGAUAUUCAAGCAAGUUACUGUUUCUCUCCUGAGAUGUUGAACAUUUCUAUCACAUUUUAAAUCAUCCAUAAAAAAAUACUGGUCCAAGAAACAGUUUCAUAUGAAUCACACAUAAAAGUAAUGUCAGCCACUAACCCUAAAUAUGUAAACUCUAAACUGAUUGAUGAAAUGUGGGAAAGGACCUUUUAUGAUAGAAACUUAGUUCUGAUGGAAGGUAAAUUAUUAUAUGCUUUAAAAAGAGCUUGAGUUUACACAUAUCAAGAUGUGAUAUGUAUGAAGGAACUGAUUAAUUUGUUCGCAUGAUUAAACUUCGUAAGUUCAGAAUGUCUUCCUAAAAUUUGAAUGUUUCCCAAAAGAACACAGUUUAAUAUCCUGUUUCAAGUAUGAAUGUCAGAAAAUAGCAUCCACCUUUUAUAUUUGUUGGACAUAAAACUAUUUUAGUUUCUAAGAGUAUACUCUUAGAAACUAAAAUUAGCUUGCUUAUACUUGUCCUGAGUAAAUAAAAAACUUAGCUUAUUCUUCCUAUUUUGAAUGUUAGACUUCUUGUUAUGUGUAUUACUGGUUACUUUCAAUCGUUAGACUUCUUGUUGUGUGAGUGUGUAUUAUUGGUUACUUUCAAUCGUUAGACUUCUUGUUGUGUGAGUGUGUAUUAUUGGUUGCUUUCAAUUGUUAGAUGUUGUGUGUGUGUGUGUAUAUUAUUGGUUACUUUCACUCGUUAGACUUCUUGGUGUGUGUGUGUAUUAUUGGUUACUUUCACUCGUUAGACUUCUUGGUGUGUGUAUUACUGGUUACUUUCAAUCAUUAGACUUCUUGUUGUGUGAGUGUGUAUUAUUGGUUACUUUCACUCAUUAGACUUCUUGGUGUGUUAGUGUGUAUUAUUGGUUACCUUCACUCAUUAGACUUCUUGGUGUGUUAGUGUGUAUUAUUGGUUACUUUCAUUCGUUAAACUUCUUGGUGUGUGAAUGUGUAUUAUUGGUUACUUUCAUUACCUUGUAGAUAUGGUUUUGUAAUAUGAAUGUUUCCAACCAGAUGUUCCUAAUUAACAUUACUUGUGGCUGUUAAUUAAUGUUUUAUUUUUAAUGAGGUUUUGUGAAUCAAACUACCAAAAAUUACUAUGUCAAAAUUUUGAACUCGUGUUUUACCAUAAAUCUAAAAGUAUUAUUAUUGUAAAUUACAUACUUAUGAAAGCUUGUGGCACUUACCUAUACCUCCAUACCUAGUCAUUUUGACAGAGAGAAUGACAGUUGAAUAUCAAAAUUGGAGAAAUGGUUUUGAUUUCCUUUUUUUGUGUGUGACAACAAAACUAAACAAGAAAGAUAUUCGAGAAGUUGUCGUAAUUUUUUGACAUAAAUUACUAUUCUGUAUCAUUUCUUUAGCUUACAAGUAUUGUUAAAGUAUAUCACUGGUGGGAAGAUUUACUUGUAUAAACAGACGUACAUGUAUCUAUGCAUGAAAAUUGCUUUUAGUGAAAUUGUAUUUUGCAUGUUGUAUUGCAAACUGAUUGCCCUGUAAGCUGCACCAGUUCAGUCAUUCAAUCAUUUCACAUGUUACUUUCAUAUCCCUGUGUUUAGAAAUCAGUUGUUAUUUUUGGUGUUAAAGAGUAGUGAUAAUUAGUGUUGUCUGCACUGGUGAAAAGAUUUUGUUGAAAUUCCACAAUGUGAAGUGAUAGCUUCAGAAUAAAGAUUUUAAACUUAGAUAAAAGUAAAUAAAAACUUUGGGAAACAUUUUAUAAUAGAUUAAGAUGAGUUUUGUAUAUUAAUGUUUCCAAAGGUUGCUCUUUUCUACUCUUCAGUUACACACACUACCAGUGUUUAUAAUGUUUUUACAACAGUGGUUAUCUGUGAGCAGUAAGCAGUUUCCAAUGUGUGUGUGUGUGUAUGCUAGUAAAUUACAAGAAGUGUAAUGGAUGUUUUAAAAUAUGCAAGCACUAACCAUUAAUGAUCUGAAAUAUGACAAUAAAUAUAAACCUUUUUAUUUAAUUCUAGAUAAACAAUUAACCACUGUUGUAGCACCAGAUACGGAUAGUGUGUAAUCCUAUGAAGAUUGAAUUUUUUUGAGAUGCUGUUUCCCCUUCCUUACAAAAAUUAGAAUUUGUUUCUCAAAAAGGGUUUGGAAUAUUAAUCUCCAUUGCAUAGCUAUGGUAGGUCUAAAUCCUACAAAGUACUUAUGGACAAGGAUGUAGUUGUGUAUUUAGUUAUAUACAUAUGUGAGGUCUUAUUGUUAGAUAUGCUUUACACUUUUAUCAAUCUAUGUACAUCAAAAAACUGAAAAUUUAAAGCUGAUAAUGAAAUAGUUGAUGAAUUAAAUAAAAUAUAAACAGAAAAGGAGAACUUUUUGUAUUUGUGGAUAAAGAUCAAGAGGGUUAUUAAAUAAAGAUUUUAUAUAUGUUGUGUUA
This is a long non-coding RNA of Limulus polyphemus (Atlantic horseshoe crab), 5644 nucleotides long. RefSeq lists it as uncharacterized. The record is from RefSeq and is a predicted model, not a curated record. The transcript is spliced from 2 exons. NCBI's taxonomy places the organism in Eukaryota, Metazoa, Arthropoda, Merostomata, Xiphosura, Limulidae.